UGCCAGCCGCCGCGGUAAUACGUAGGGUGCAAGCGUUGUUCGGAAUUACUGGGCGUAAAGCGCACGUAGGCGGAUCGUUAAGUGAGGGGUGAAAUCCCAGGGCUCAACCCUGGAACUGCCUUUCAUACUGGCGAUCUUGAGUUCGAGAGAGGUGAGUGGAAUUCCGAGUGUAGAGGUGAAAUUCGUAGAUAUCAGGAGGAAAACCGAUGGCGAAGGCAUCUCUCUGGGCCGAUAUUGACGCUGAGGCGCGAAAGCGUGGGUAGCAAACGGGAUUAGAUA
Molecule: ribosomal RNA, 279 nt
Filed under: uncultured bacterium
Lineage: Bacteria
Description: partial 16S ribosomal RNA
Rfam family: Bacterial small subunit ribosomal RNA
Source: RNAcentral